GGGACUGCGGAGUGAGGAGGGGAGGGAGUGGGUAAGGUAAGGGGAGAGAGAGAGAGAGAGAGAGAGACGUGGCGUGGGCUUGGCUCGCUGCGGAGGGAAGGCUGGGUAUGUGGGCGACGCGCCGCUGCUGUGGCCGCCGGCCGGGGUCCGCGCCUGCUCAGGCCGCUCGAGAGGCCAGGAGCAAGGUGGCGGGUGGAGCCCGCGCCCGGAGACGAGGUCGGCCUCCAUGCUUGAGCCGGGGUUUAGUGCGCUACGAUCGGUCGGGUUAAGUAGCCAAGCCGCAGCCUAAACACAACGGACAGUGAUCUAGACCUACACCGCCUACGUAUUAGCGAGUACCCUAACCAAGCUCAGGUAUUAAACGCAAGAUGCUAAUCCUAACGGGCAAGCGUGGACAAGCAAGCAGACUGGGGGUGUAUAACGAGAUACGACCGUAUAGACUUACGAACCUCACAAUUAAUUAGCUAGAGUGAUGUAUAAAGGACUACGAGCCCACACGGAUCAGUACCAAGUCAAUUAAAACGUCCUACUAAAUCCUUAUAUACAAGCAUACAUUACCUGGUUAUGGUUAAAAUUAGUGUUUAGUAAAAACUCAACAACUGACCAGAUGACGACGAACGUCGACGAUUAUGGGUCAAAGUCUCUCCCUCUUAUGGUCCUAUGACUAGAUCUUGGUACCAUACACGCUAGUCGAUCCUCCCGUGGUCACAAGAUCUACCACCUGCAAUGGGACGAAUCCACGAUCCACGGUGGGAGGAUAGAUCCACAGACGGAUUAGGACUGAUCUUAGAAGGGCCGGCGGUCGAACCACGAAAAAUCUCAUGAGGUUCCGGUAGAAGGGAUUCGUCGUCGGAGUAAAGGACCACGUCAACCAAGUACAGUAGGUACGGUCCCUCCUACUAUUAUAACAAUAAACAUCGUAAGUAUGAUGAUAGGAUGAAGGUUUAGUCUACGAUUUAAAUACACCCAAUAAUGACCAAUCAAAAUAAAGUGCGUUCAUCAUAGUGAAGUAUUAAAAUAAGGCCGAGGUACCGACGAUGUAUAGACGAAACGGUCCGAUGUGAAGACGAACGGAGACGGUGGCGCUGUAAAAAUUUCACAUAUACACCUAACGGAUCGGGAAAGGUUUUUCUGAAAACCAACGCAACCCAUCACGUACUUCGAAUUGUACCAUAGUCUCAGAAUUCCAGAACUCGAGUUCAGGACCGAAGACGUUAAAUAGGUUUUAAACGACAACGAGGGAGAAACAGGUACAUAUCCGGAGAACUCGGUAUGGACACUCAGAUAAGUGCACAACUGAAGGGCGUAGUGUACACUCUCCCCCACAACUUCACAUAUACACCUAACGGAUCGGGAAAGGUAGUCAAACCUAAAAACCAAUGCAACCGAUCACGUACAUCGAAUUGUCUGUAGAGGAGGGUAUGGUGACCCGGGUGAGACUGGGGUAAAGGGCGAUAGAGCGUGACGACCGUGUGAGGACUUCCGACUCCGGUAGAGACAUGGACGGGCCAAACGGUUCAACCGACGUGUCUUAGGCUUGCAGUGGAGACCGUGGAAACUGGUUGAUCCGCUAGAGGGACGGAAUGAGACGAUUCCAACGGGCCGGCGAAAAGUCUCUUGAACACGUACAAGAAAACAAGGAGAAUAGAAUUUUGAUUCUUGUGUUUGUGGUAAACAGAACCCCCUAUAUAUCUACUGAUCUCCUACUUAUAUCUUGGGACACUUGAAAACUUUUUCCUGGGGGGUUAAAUGUUUAGAGACAGUUGAGUGUUCGGGGUAUAGGAUCUCCAGACGACACCAAUGAAAGGCGCACCUCGAAAAGACCUUAUAGGUAUCAGUCAACAGUGUACAAUCAGUUGAAAACUCGGCUCAAUUAACUAGUGAAACAAAAGAACUCCGAUAAAAAAGGGGAGUGUUUAGACAUAUCACUUUUGACUCUUCGAAUUUCUUGUAUUUCAUUGUUAUAUGGAAUUAUUAACAUCGACGACGACAAAGAAAGUACCAACUACAAUUGUUAGUACUAAAACCUUAUAUCAAGGGAUACAGGAAUCCAUAACAUUAGUUAAACGUUUAUUUUUGACAAAUUGUAACAUGGUCCCGUUCACGAUUCAUUCUUGAAAGUUACUUAUACUCGAUGGAAACGAUACGGGAUCCUCCUUGAGGCUUGUUAAAACCCAGAUAGUUGUUAGAAAACAAUGUGCGAUAGGGAGUCGUUCAUUUUAUUAAAGAGAUACUACACUACACGGGACGUCCGAGUGGAAGUCGGAGUGAAUCCUAUGAAAGUAAUAAAUACAGGGAUAACAACCAAAUCUCAAGAUUGAUAAACAAAAGUAGUAAGGUACAGAGUAAUUCAAAGACAGACUUAUUAUAGAUAAUCUACUUACGGACUAGUAAUAAAACUAAGAUGAAACGACUAAAGAUACAUGUCGCACAUAGACUUGAACCUACAAACUGAUACAAGUCCGAUUAUCCAGAACAGCGAAGGCACGACAUAUGACUCUAUUAUACCAACUCACGUGUUACCAUAGCUGGAAUGAACUGCCAGAAGGAUUACUUCACCGAGAGGUCACGGAACGUGCACAGGGCAAACAUAGAGUAGGAUAAGAAGUCGACCAAACGGCGAGAACCUCUCGUAGACAAGCGUUACCCCUCGAAGAGUUACAAGCCUUAGUCUAACCACGCUGUCUUCUUGACGAUACACACAAUCGUAAACUUGGACUUUUGUAAACCGUUGAAAUACUAGGAGCAGCUCUGUUCACCUAUUGAGAGGGACAGUACGGUAGAGUCUAAUCCUUGUAACGGGCAAAACCUCAACGGAGACAACGACCUUUUGAGAUACAUUAACCACCACCGUCACUAUCUCAACUGGGGGAAUGACCUCUGGUACUGUGUUAGAAACGCUCGUUGCUCCAGACCAGAAUACUAGGAGAGGUGGCGAACACCCGGGUCUCCCGAGGUUACGAACAUCGAGCUCGAUACAAACGAACAACACGUAACCUACCCUUCUAUUAACAACGACCCCCUAAAUGUUUGACGGCGUUUAGCUAUAGCCUCCGACUCUAAAUGCUAGGACUUCGACUGUGUACCCUCAGGGAGGGACUAGAGGCAGUCCGUGUGGGGAGACGUACGAGACCAGAACAGUAGUUCCUAUUCUACGUGCAUAACGUAUUUCCCUAUAGUUGUCAGGUCUAAGAGCUUCUACCGCCAUUAAUAACCCGACAACUCCUGAUGAGAACCGACGUUCCGGGUUACCGUUACCAACCACCUCUCAACAUACACGACUCGUUAUCGACGUAAUCCUUCGUCGUACCACUCUUAAAGGGACUAUUCUACCAAGGAACACGUAGUCCUAAGGUUUCGUCCUAACCGAAACCGUACUAACCGAAUCCCCUGUCGUAUACAAACAAACCACCUCACUAACCCGGACCCGGUUCUUUAGUCACGUAAUUCGGUAACAGACUACAACUAUAGAACUUACAGCGUUCGCUCUCCGGUUGGACCGCUGUUCCUAGCGGCUACUGCGCAACGGCUCCCUCAUAGCGUCCGACACGAGACGACUUCUAUAUCCGAACAAGGUCACACCCUAGCACGACAACGACUUUUGACGUCUACCUAAAAUAAAUAAGACGUAGAGUAAAUUAAAGACUUUUUUUCCAAUUGAUACGAAAAUCAAGACCUAGUGAACAACAUCGUAACUCCUAUAUACAACCGGUACUGAGCUUACAGUCUAACAGUUAGUCAAUAAUAUGAUGAUAUAAUAUGAUGUACGCGGAACGUCACGAACGACGUUAGAAUAACCAAACUAAAAAAUAAAAAAAAACGUGUUACGUUUCAAGGG
RNAcentral lists this ribosomal RNA (3838 nucleotides) under Triticum aestivum (bread wheat). Its description in RNAcentral is "partial small subunit ribosomal RNA". The record is from RNAcentral. Lineage: Eukaryota; Viridiplantae; Streptophyta; Magnoliopsida; Poales; Poaceae.